UUUCUAGUGCAACCCAAAGCACACACAGACAGGCUGGCGUUUGAAUCCAGCAAGCGAACGACCCACCAAGAGCUAGAGGAGAAGGCUAGCAAGCGAGGCUGGGGCAGGAUGGACACAGACAGACAGACAGAAAGCAGCAAGCGUGAGCGGUGAGGAGCAUUCCACACAGAGUGCACGCAGCCUCCUGGCACGGAUGGACACCCGGGAGAUGGGUCCUGCUCUAGCAAGUCAUUGAUUCUUCCAUUUAAGAAAGAUUCAGAAGAUGGGUCUGCAUUCAGUACCUGAUAAAACUCCAAAUCCUGAUGCUGAACAUUACAAAUUUAACUUAAACUAACAGAUUUCCUUCAACUGCAGCUGAAUUGUUAAGCCAUCCUAUAAAAUAAAAAGACCACAGGAAAAACUGUGAACAGAAAUCUCGCUCUCCCUCUCUGUGGCCCUAGUGACCUGAUAUCCACAGCUCACAGUCUAUGUCACUGGCUUAGCUCCAAGUUGCCAUAAGCAAUGAAGGAAGGAACGCUUGCAUACACUAAUCCCUCAUCCAUCUCUUGCUGUCUGCCAGAUUCCUAACAUGAUUCUCAUGCACUGACCAAAACUGCAGUACUUUGCAAAGCACACAACACAGGAGAACUUCAGAUUCACGUGGAGAAUUGUACUCCCAAGGGGAAAGGAAGGAAUCGUGGCAGUGUUUCCUUGAUUACUGGGAUUUGCAUGAUCCUAUCAAAAACCAGCAUCCAGACUAACAAUAUUUGGAUUAAGAGCAUCUGACCACAUCCCUUUGGCCCUCGUAACACCUUUGUGAGGGAGGAAACCCGAGCAUGCAGGAUUAUCCACAGCUGGAUUCUGCAGCACCAUCCCGUGACGUGUUACUGAAGCUGAAGUAACAACUCAGUCCUCAGCUUGUGCAGGCAGGAGGCCAAAUUGAAACAGGUGACAAGCCAGAGAUAUUCCUAAGGAAAGCCUCACCACGGAUAUUUGAGCAUUCUGAACCUUUGAAAUCAAUGGAAGUGGGAAAUCCUGAGCAUCUCUCACAGCUAUCCUUAAUCAAGUGAAGGGCUAUUUGCAAAAAUUAGAGGUCUAAUUUUUUUUAAGGUAUGCAAAUGAUAUGCAAAACUAAAUGUUGAUUCUGAACAUCCUAUGCCUGUUACCGUUUCAUAAACCAUGGGGCACAGGAGACACAAACAGUAUUUUUGGGAGUCUAUAUCUUAGCCUUUUAUAUUGGAAUUUUUCUCCUUUCAUUUUUUGGAUGUGAAGUGCUAAAAUUCCUCCUCUUUUAAUGCCACAGCAUAGUGAAAAAACAUUUUAGCCCUUUUCCCCAUUUUUAUUUUGAUUAUAGCAAUUACUCAUUUAAAUUAAUGAUUAUUAAAUUACCUAAUGUAGAUUAUUUACUUUAAGGUGUUUAGAUAAGUAGAUUAUCAAAAUUAUAUCAAUUAAAGCAAUUAUUAAAACUGCUCAAAUUUUAAUUUAAAAUACCUGAUUCUGAAUUUCAACAAUACACCAGGCAAGAUUUAAUGGAAACAUAUGAAAAGGAUGCACAGAGCUUCUUUAGAGAAAUGUGCAAGUCUUUCUUAGUUCUAAAUGUCCCCCCUUUCACAUACAGAUUAUAUUCUCUGGAAGUAAAGAACUAGCCAUACAGAAAUGAAUGACUUCAUUGUCUUGUGCAAACUACUUUUUCUCUAUGUCCACUAAUUUGCAGAGGAGAGGACCACUGACUACUCUGAGCUUUUUCAGUCAUCCACAGAAAUGAGCCCAAAAGGGACCAUGGGCACCUCACAGAGGGCACCUUACAACUGCUCCCAGAGCAAUGAGGGCACAGCACUUCUGGAAAUGGAGUCUCUUCUGUUAAGUGGAUUUUUAGUUCUUUAUGCUAAGGGAAUAUCUCCAAAACAUGCUUUUAUUUUUAAACUGGGUUUCUUUCUUAAGUUUGGCUUUACCUCAAGACGUCACAAUCCCAACAUUCAUGUAAGGAUGAACGCAUGCUCCAAUCCAGACGACCUGGACAGAGAAGCCAUGCUUCCCUGUCAAUGUUAUGAGGUACCUUACAAGACAUGGCCAAUCUUAAGCAGAGAAAAAUAUUUACUGAAUUCUACCUUUUCACAGAGGGAAAGCACAGUCCCAGCUUGGAUUAUUGCAACCUGCUCUUCAUUUCUCAAAUUCUAAAAUACAAAAAGAUGCAUUUUAAUUUUGAUUAAAAAUUCAUCCUUUAACAUGAGCAGUAAGUUUUAACCAUACUUCAAAAAGUAAAUCAGUUAUAAUAUUUAGGAUUAUAGACAUGACCAAAACAUGACCCACAACUGAAAGUACUGAAAAUUAAACCAAGGGUGUUUAGUUCCACUCUAUUUCAGCAUACCAGCACCACAACACUUUUUCAACAGAUCAUUUAAUGAAACAGAUCAGUCAAUGAAAAUUAGGUGGUUUUAGUCAGGGAUUUUGCAGUUUUUUCGCUGUUUUUGCCAGUUCAUUGGACUAAGCCUUGCAGCAAGUGAAUCUCACCUUCAUGCACUUCAGAGUUCCAAUUUAAAAAAACAGUGCAAAGAGUAAGUGCCAUAGAAACCUGCACAGGACUUGGAACAUAAUAUGCAAAUCUAAAACUUAAAACUAGUAUUAAAAAUACUUCAAUCUGUUAAAUCUAGCUAUAAACUGGACUCAGCUCCCUGGAUGUUUGUGCCCCAAAUUUGUGGCUAAGAUUUUAUACUGUAUUUAGCAAUAAAGAAGAAAAAAGGGUGACAGUUAUCCUUGCCUUUCUCCCAGAAAAUCCACUCCUGGCAGUGACAGCCUUCACAGUAGAAGGUGCUACUAUAACUACUCAAGAGGGAUAAUUCACAGCUUGGUCUGGCUUUGACUUUUGUUUUGCAUUUUUUCACUUUGCCUAUUACAGUGCCUAUUUUCUGUAUCAUUUGGUCAAGACCAAAUUCUACCUUGAAAAAAUACUCAUUUCACUACCAUCAGUUUAACUAAAACAUUUCACAUUGUAAAAGCCAUUCCUAACUAUUCAUAUUCUUCAUACAAACCCAGGCAUAUAAAAAUCACCCAGUGCACUAUCUUGAAUGUUAGUAUUUGCUGUGGAAAAAUAAUGCUUUAAAUUAACCAUGAAACUGGAGGUACAUUUAAAAGUAAAAAAUUGUUACCCCAUUAUCUCCAAGAAUAUCUAGCUUCUUCAUAAGUUCAGAUAUAUUCACGUCCUGAAAAAGAUGUUUGACACUUAUUUUUUAUGAAGUAGGUCAGAAACAAUUUUUAUAUGCUACAUUUUAUGUACCCUUUAUUCUCUGUGUGUGUGAAAAGACUUCAAAUGUAAAUAAGUGAAACAUAAUUUUGUAUCACAGUUACAAAAGUAAUUACUGGUACUUUAAGACAAAACUAAAAGUCACUUUCAAUUAUAACAAGCAACCUGGAUGUCUGUGCAUGAGGGCAGAAUGUUCCUGUAUCAUUCACGCUUCUCAUCCUGCUAAUGUGUGUAGAAGAAAGAUCAAAACUGAUAAACAGGUUUAAAAGACGUAAAUAGAAAGGGCUUAAAAGACUUUUUUGUUUGUUUGUUUGGAGUGGAGCAUCAACCACAUCAAGCUGCAGAAGUUUCAAGGACAGAGAGUAUGAACAAAUAAUUGCUAAGAAAGUUUGCUUGGUGGUUUGCUUUUUAAACAAAACCAUGGAGUUUCAAAUCAGCCUUACAGUGGCAGAAGGGAAUGUGCACAGUGGGCUGAACAUCCUCCUCCAAACAGCUUAUCAGCUCAUAAUCAUCUUUCUAAUUAGAAAGCCACAUUUUCUCUGCCACUCAACUCUCAGAUAAUAAACUGAACAGCCCAUCCUUAUUAAGGCUCUGCCACUGAAAUAAAGAAAACAACUCCUCUGAUUCAAAAAAAGAGAGGCAUAAAUUAAUGGAAUCACAUAAUCAUAGAAUGUGCUGAGAUGGAAGAGGUGCAUCAGGAUCAUUGAGUCCAACUCCUGGCCCUACACAUCCCCAGGAGUCACACCAUGUGCCUGAGAGCAUUGUCCAAACACUUCUUCAGCUCUGUCAGGCUGGAGAUGUGACCCCUUCCCUGGGGAGCUGUUCCAGUGCCCAACCACCCUCUGGGUGAAGAACCUUUUCCUGAUAAAAUUCACAUGAUGUCUGUAUUUCACACUGUGCCAGGAUACAUUCCUAGGCCCCAGAACUCUAUUUAAAGUUUAAAAAGUUGUUGAAAAGGGUCAUAUAACUGUUUAAACAGAGGUAAUCACAUUUUCCUCAACUAUCCCAAGUUUGCUCUGCAAGUUAACACAUCAAAGUUUACAUGGACCAAGGACCAUUUCCACUGACAGCCCGUAUGCAGCCUUGCUGUUUGAAGGCAGGAAGCCUUGAGAGCAUGGGAAUGGAAUAGUCCAUGUUAGUCCAAAAUGCUUAAUACACAUACAUAAAGCAAAAGAACUUCUGCUCGUAUCCAGCACUUAGAAAAGGCCAACAUGUCACAGGGCCAUGUGCAGUUUUCAAGUUUUUCUAUCCUGAGAGGUCCCCUCCGUCUCUUCCCAAGAACUUCAGGGAUGUUCCCAAAUGCUACAUGAGCUAUUUAACUGUGCACAUCCCUAACUCUAGGAAUGGUGCAGAUCCUAAUACACUUGUGUUUGUAUGAAUUUUAAAAACAAAACUAUUGAUUAUGGUCAUCAUUGACAGUGCUGAACAGAAACUUCUUUAGCCAACAAGUUACACUAGUGAAGAAUGGAAUUUACUUGCAUCCAUUGAGCCAGAAAUAAUCAUCCUAAUAAUUUAUUUCCAUAUGAUCCAUAAAGGAAGAACCAGAAACCAAAUUAGAUUUUGCAUCAUUCUGGAAUCUACAUUGCUACUGAUGGCCAAUAAUUUUUAAAAGCACUGAAAACAGAUAAAAGUUCAACCAUUUCAGUCUGCCCAUUUUAGGUGACUGCCCCAUCUUCCAGGUAAGCAAACUGAAAGGCAUAUUGAAAAGAAUCCAUCUGUUAAAGCAUAUCAUAGAUGACAAUGGAAAAAAUUAUGAAUUCUGGUACACUGUACCUGCUACAGAACAACAGGUAAGCUAAAAGUGGGUCUGGCUUUAUGUGUAGGUGAUGUGCUAACUGAUGACUCUUGGUGUGCUUUGGGAGAUGAGAAUCCAACCAAAUCUGUAGGUCAGAAUCAGAUUUUAACUCUUUUCUUUCAGACUACUCAACUUCCUAAAAAUAUGCAGGGACAAUUUCUGUUUAUUUCCUCUAGAGAUCAUGCUGUGCUCAUUAAAGCACUGAAUAGCAACAAGCCUCCUAUAAAAGGACUUGUAAACACAACUAAAAAUUCAACCAUAAAUCACUAGUGAGUGGCACUGAGAUUAUGCUUUAGUUACUUGUAGAAAAGUUGCCCAGCCCCGUUGUGUAACAUUACUGACAACACAAGUCUGAAUUCAAUCUUAAGUGAACCAGCUUGCAAAUCAAGUUGCAGAAAUAGCCUGUUCAUGGGGGAACAGGAGUGAAAAGAGUUAUUCUUGCUUCCCUAUAUCAGAAGGUAGUCAAGGGAGAUCCUGAUGUUUAUCUUGUUCUUGUUCUAAGAGUCCCACCUAUCUGAAUGAGUUCUGGAUCAGGCAUCUCAUGCUUCAAGGCCCUGGCCUUGGCAAAUAACUUAAGCAUAUUCAUUCAACAAAUAAAAGCCUUCACUAAGCUGGGUGUAAAAUACGGACUGAAUGUCAUGUUCCUGAACUCAUUGAAGUUGAUGAAGACAUUUAAUAUCAUGAACCAUGUACUGUAGCAAGCCUGACAAAGAAUCAGUUCAACAUCCACAUUCUUCCCUAGACUAAAUGUAAAUUAUCUUGAAUGACCAGCCUUCAGUUUCACUGAGGAACUGCUGAUAUGACCAGAUCGUAUUCCUACAAAACUGAUUCCCCAGUUAAAAAUGUCUUUUCUAAUUUGUUUUCUUUUUUUGAAUUUUCUUCCCUGGUAAGUGUCAAACCAUUUCUUUGGAUAUUAGACUGGUCAUUCAAGAAAGGUUCCUAGCCAUCCAACUGUUUCUAGUGUUUCUCUGCAUAUACCUUUAUUCCUUCCUGAUGGCAGAACAGUUGAAGUGCACUUCCAUUGUUUUCAGGGAAGGUGGUUAUAUGAAGAUUAAAUGCUGGCGACCUUCUCUCUCUCUCCUGAGGAAAGAUUUGUUUAAAAACAACAUUUGUGAAUAUACAUUAACAUUUCUUCCCCACCUUUACAAAACAUAAUUGUACAUUAAAAAGGCAGAUUCCUGCUCUCAUUCCAAAUCUCUUCUAUUUCCUCUUACUUUUUAUUUGAAGAAUUUUGGCUAAAUACAAACAUAGUGUUAGCUGCCAGCUGAUUCCAUGCACACAGUUUCUGCAAAGUAACCUGACUGCCCAGCUGCAGAACCCUUGCAACACUGGCCCUAAUUGACUGGAGCCCUGAAAUACUCUGCAGAUUUUUAUGUUGAUUAUAACCUUAUUUAACUACUGUUUUCUUUCAUGGAACAAUAAAAAAUUUAGAAAUAAAAAUCUGCAGAAAAAAAAUUUAAACUUCAUCAUGAAAUAGUAUUGUUGAAUAUGUUCUCACUAAAAUUAAACCUCUGUGUCUGGUCCCUGUUUAUUCCACAGUCUGCCUUCCUAUUAGAGCACUUAAAAUCCCCAUUUAAAUUCACUCCAAGAGCCAAAAUGUCAGAAUAUGUUGAAAGGCAGCAAUAUUCUACAGUUACAAUGUUUUUUGUGACAAAACAAAAAAUUAAAAAUUCCCAUCUAUCUAAAGAUAUUUAGUAUAUCUAAAACUUAACUGGUCCAUGUAGAUGACUUCCAUCCAUUUCUUCAAAAUACCAACCUAUUAUUUCUUCAGAAGGCAGAUAUAACAUAACAAGCAAUUUUUAGCUAAAUUAAAUUUUCAUGUGCCUGUGAAAAAUGACUGGACUGAAGGCUCUGGGCAACCAAGGCAUUGGGUCUUACUCUGAAUUCUCUCUGGCCAUGAGAACACGAGCAAGAAACACCAGAUUUCAUCUCCCUGUUACAAUGGUAUGCUUUGGCAACAUGAGCUUCAUUUUCUCAGAAAGACCACUACUACAAAUACUUCAGUUCCUGUGAGCAUCCAUGUAUUGCUCUAUUUCCUAAAUCACAAAUGAGAUGCUUUAAUUGAUAUGGCAGGCAGGCUGCAUCCAUUCUGUUAAACAAGUUACAAAGCAUGGCAAAUCUUGUACAUUAAUUAGGUUAAAACUAAUUUGAAACUACAGUGUAGAGAGAAAAAUCUCUGUAGUCUAUGCAAUUUCCCCCCUCUGAGGCUUUUUAAAAAUAAUAUUUACAUCAACAGUCUAAUUCUGAAAUGGGCUUCAAUAGUGUCUUAGCUGUUGUAAACCAAAGCCAGAACUUUAAUUGUUAUCCAAACUCAGUUAUGAUUUUAGAUAUUGUUAAAAAUUCAUCAGUUGCUAUUGCAUUCAUCUCACCUAAACUUGCUUGCUUUAAUUGAUAAAUAAAUGAUUGUGUUUUAUACUUUACCUAAUUUUCAUCUGAAAUAACUGUGCUAAAAAAUACUGUUCUGAUUACCAGUAGAACUGAUGGUUUUCCUAAAGCAUGGCAUUGUCAGACACAUUGGUGUCUACAUGUUUGUCUACUAAGGAAAAAAUCUUUUCUUGCAAUCACAUAAAAAUGCUUCCAUUGUUAUUCUGUGAAAGAAUUUUUCCAAGCUUUGGCACAUGACAAAACCUUACAUGACAUACUGAGCUGUUUUUGAUGUGAUUCUUCCAUGAGAAAAAUACAUUAAGAAGGAUCUAUUGAAGAAUAUUUGUUCAUUGCUUAAGAAAUCUUUUUUUGGACAGUUUUACUUCUAAGAACACCCACACUUUAGGAAGCAAUUUCUAGUGCAAUGGCCAAUUCAAAUGCUAAAUUGUUCUCUUUUUCUUUACAGUCCUUUAAUAAAAUAUAAAGAUAUGUAUUAGAAAGCAUAUCUAUUUUUCUGAACAUCUACUGAAAUUCUAAUAACCUAAAUUCAUAGUUUUGAAUGUAAUGGGCUACAACAUCAAAACAAUAUGGUUGAUAAAGGAUGAGAAAAAGAUAAAGAAAUGUCAGACAAAAAGAACAUCCACAUAACAGGGAGACAUGACAUUUUCAUCUUUAUCAGAGAAGUUACACAUGCUGAGGUUUUUGGUGAAACGUGCUGGGUGAUAAAAAUGGAGGAGUGACAAUGACAGGUUUGUCAGAGCGUUUAUUCUAAGCAGUGUUAAGAAUGCUGGUGAUCUUUGAAAGUGAACAAUGUGUCAUCAGGCAAUACAACCAUGUGACAACUGUGCAUCACACGCAGAUAUUUCAGUGUUGCUAAAUCCGACAUGAGCCCAGUUUGUGAGGGGAUGAGAGCCAUUGCUUUCAGUUGUAACCACAGGCCACAUGUUCAGUGCUAAUAACAAAUAAUUUUGCUUAAUUCAUUUAUGCAAAGUAAGGAAUUUGUUUGAUAUAGGCAACAUGAUAGUUUAACAUACAGAAGUUAUAAUUCUGCUUUACCACUUUUCUUUGGCAUUGCCAGAGGUUUGGGGUUUUUUUCAUUUUUCUUUGACUGAAGCCAAUUAUUUCCAAUCCAUGACCAUUUUAAACCAUGAGAAAAUGGAUUUAAGGUAAGAGGAAUUCUUUGGAAGCUGCUAUCAAAAUGUGUUCUUUUAAAGAUAAAUUUACUUCAUAUGAAUGUUGUCAGCAUUAAAUUGAUGUCAUUUAAAGCAGUUCUACAUUGAUGUGAUGGACGUGUCAGAUCUUUAGUCAGAUCACUGCAUGCAAGAUGUGAGAAGGUGUGUUAAUUUAAUCAAUGCCAGCCAAGGCUGUAGAAUACAUACCAGGUGAUUUUACAUGCAGGAAAGGAGCAGUUAUGGAAAUGAAACAAAUAAAAAAGGCAAAAUAUUGCAAAACAAAAUAUUUUUUAUUAGAUGAAAACCAAACUAUAUGCAAUUUAUAUUAGCUAUAUUACAUCUUUAUAAACAUUAGUGAGCAUUCUCUCCAAAACAUAUUAAGGCAGUGGCAUCAAUUUCAUUAUCCCAAGAUACAACAUUUAAAAAAUAGAUACCUAAGUGACUUCCCUUAAACAUGCACCAGACAUCAGUAAUCUUUACAGGAAUUUCAGCUUGGGUUCAAACAUAAUUUCUGCUCCAUUUGAGAGUUUGCAACAGAGAGAAUCUCUUACUUCAAGCUCUAGCACUCUGAAUUCUAACAGCUCAUUCUGGUCUUUUGCAUCUUGCAUCUCAUUCUUCAGCUGAUGCUCUUCUUGUUCCAUUCUGUAAAUCUGUGAGACAAACACAACAUGUAACACCCUGUAAGCGCUAGAAAAGGUACUGCCAAGAGUUACAAGCCAGGGGUUUAGAAAAAACUGUUAAUUAUUUCCAUUUUUCAUUAUACAUCAGGCUGUGUCAUAGAGAUAAGAAAGUAUUUUAUCAGAAAGUAUUUCUGAGAGCUGUCAGCAGGAAAUGGUCAAUGUUCUCUUAAAGUAAUAAUCUGGAAGUAACAUAAAAGUGAUAUGAAUGUUGUAUCUAAAUAAGUUAAGUAGUAGAAGUUUUAAAUCCAGCAAAUGAAAUUAAUUACAAUAACAUUUGGAUAGACUGUUCUCAUUGUCUUUGCCUAAUUAGAAAUAUAUUUUUUACAGUAUAUGAAAGACAAUAAUGGUGUGGUUUUAAUGACUACUUUUUAAUUUGCAGAAUUUUGCCUUGGGGUACUAACAAAGACAAAAUAGAAAUUCAAUACUGGCUAUUAAUUAUGCCAACUAAUAGCUUUGGUCUACUGUCUGUUUUAACUGGGUGAUCUUUUUCUUGUACAAAACUAAAUAGAAGUGUACCAUCUGGCACAAUGUACUUUGACAUUUACAGUGCCCAUGUAAGUGUCCAAGUAAAUUAAACCUGUCUGUAGCUACUUUCAAUCAUGAUAUUUUAUUUGGUUAUCUUAUUUGUAUUUGUAUUAUGUUAAUAUUAAGCUACUAAUUAACAAUAUCAGUUUUUUGUCUUCCUCAGUUGGCUAGCCAACUUUUCCACCACUGUCAACAAAGAAAAAUGCAGAUGCUCAGCUCUGAGUAUCUCAGACAGUUUAUAUAAUAAACCUUAAAUUGAUCAGUAUUACUUAAUGUGCAGAAAAACUAUAAAAACAUUGAAGGGAGCAGGAAAUUUUGCUAGUGGUCAGGACAAUAAUAAUCUUUGUGUAUCUUUGUAUUUUAUUGGGCACUAGAAACCUCAGCCAGCUUGGGAUGCACUGGUGGCUAUCCAUGUAAUUCCACAAGAAAAAGCAGCUUUGAUUCCUGAAGAAUAUAAAAGCAUUUUGAUACUUUAUUCAGAGACUUUUACUUAAAUUUCUGUUUCUGAUGAGAAAUAAAGCAAUUUCAUGCUGAUUUUAUAGUACUUAGGGCAUUCAAUUUCUUCUAUGAUAAAUGGCAGCAAUGGUGAAAAUAUUCCCACAUACCUUCUCUAGCAACUCCUGAUUUGUUCUAAUUAACAGCUGUUUUUCUUCUACCCAUUUUGAAUCCUGUGAGGAAAAUACAUAUGUUUUAUUAAAGAAGACAAAUUAAUGCCAACAAUAAUUAGAUUUUAGACAUCAUUUUGUAUUCGAGUAUAAAAUGGUCACACACUGAAAAAUACAGCCAUCAUAAAUGUUUCAAGGAUGUAUAGCAUUUUAUACUACAGUGAUAAUAAAAGUAUCUUUCCUGUA
Long non-coding RNA from Haemorhous mexicanus (house finch), 10607 nucleotides. RefSeq lists it as uncharacterized. Lineage: Eukaryota; Metazoa; Chordata; Aves; Passeriformes; Fringillidae. The transcript is spliced from 3 exons. The record is from RefSeq and is a predicted model, not a curated record.